Molecule: unclassified non-coding RNA, 269 nt
Filed under: Paraglomerales sp.
Lineage: Eukaryota; Fungi; Glomeromycota; Glomeromycetes; Paraglomerales
Description: partial contains 5.8S ribosomal RNA and internal transcribed spacer 2
Rfam family: 5.8S ribosomal RNA (bases 1-65)
Source: RNAcentral
GUGAAUCAUCGAAUUUUUGAACGCAAAUUGCGCCUUUUUCGUAAGGCAUGUCUGUUUGAGGGCACCAUUUAACAAGUAAUGUGCAGCGUUUUUGGUUGCACACGCUGAUGAGCUUUCCAAGAAUUUUAAAUUUUUGGUGGCGACUAAUGAACAGCGGGAAAGUUUUUUUCAGUUCGAGUGUAGUAAAAUCUUUGCUUGGGUGGUGAAAAAACAUAAUCGCGAAAUGUGUGUGGCGAUUCUACUAACCCUGCCCCAACGCCACUCGUUCU